Molecule: ribosomal RNA, 400 nt
Filed under: uncultured bacterium
Lineage: Bacteria
Description: bacterial SSU rRNA
Rfam family: Bacterial small subunit ribosomal RNA
Source: RNAcentral
UGGGGAAUAUUGCGCAAUGGGCGAAAGCCUGACGCAGCGACGCCGCGUGUGGGAUGACGGCCUUCGGGUUGUAAACCACUGUCGGGAGGGACGAAGAUCUGACGGUACCUCCAAAGGAAGCACCGGCUAACUCUGUGCCAGCAGCCGCGGUAAUACAGAGGGUGCAAGCGUUGUCCGGAAUUACUGGGCGUAAAGGGCGCGUAGGCGGCCUGAUAAGUAGGGGGUGAAAUCCCGCGGCUCAACCGCGGGGCUGCCUUCUAGACUGUCAGGCUUGAGCACGGUAGAGGCGAAUGGAAUUCCCGGUGUAGCGGUGGAAUGCGUAGAGAUCGGGAAGAACACCAGUGGCGAAGGCGGUUCGCUGGGCCGUUGCUGACGCUGAGGCGCGACAGCGUGGGGAGCA